AGAGUUUGAUCCUGGCUCAGAACGUACGCUGGCGGCACGCCUAACACAUGCAAGUCGAACGAAGUAGCAAUACUUAGUGGCAGACGGGUGAGUAACAUGUGGGUAUCUGCCCUUUGGCCUGGAAUAACACGAGGAAACUUGUGCUAAUACCGGAUAAGUCUUUACGUAGAAAGCUUUAUGCACCAUUGGAUGAGCCCGCACUUGAUUAGUUUGUUGGUGGGGUAAUGGCCUACCAAGACUGUGAUCAAUAGCUGAUUUGAGAGGAUGAUCAGCCACAUUGGGACUGAGACACGGCCCAAACUCCUACGGGAGGCAGCAGUGGGGAAUCUUGCACAAUGGAGGAAACUCUGAUGCAGCGAUGCCGCGUGAGUGAAGAAGGCCCUUGGGUUGUAAAGCUCUUUCGUCGGGGAAGAAAAUGACUGUACCCGAAUAAGAAGGUCCGGCUAACUUCGUGCCAGCAGCCGCGGUAAUACGAAGGGACCUAGCGUAGUUCGGAAUUACUGGGCUUAAAGAGUUCGUAGGUGGUUGAAAAAGUUGGUGGUGAAAUCCCAGAGCUUAACUCUGGAACUGCCAUCAAAACUUUUCAGCUAGAGUAUGAUAGAGGAAAGCAGAAUUUCUAGUGUAGAGGUGAAAAUUCGUAGAUAUUAGAAAGAAUACCAAUUGCGAAGGCAGCUUUCUGGAUCAUUACUGACACUGAGGAACGAAAGCAUGGGUAGCGAAGAGGAUUAGAUACCCUCGUAGUCCAUGCCGUAAACGAUGUGUGUUAGACGUUGGAAAUUUAUUUUCAGUGUCGCAGCGAAAGCGAUAAACACACCGCCUGGGGAGUACGACCGCAAGGUUAAAACUCAAAUGAAUUGACGGGGACCCGCACAAGUAGUGGAGCAUGUGGUUUAAUUCGAAGAUACGCGCAGAACCUUACCAACACUUGACAUGUUCGUCGCGACUCUAAGAGAUUAGAGUUUUCGGUUCGGCCGGACGAAACACAGGUGCUGCAUGGCUGUCGUCAGCUCGUGUCGUGAGAUGUUGGGUUAAGUCCCGCAACGAGCGCAACCCUCACUUUUAGUUGCCAUCAUUAAGUUGGGCACUCUGAAAGAACUGCCAGUGAUAAGCUGGAGGAAGGUGGGGAUGACGUCAAGUCCUCAUGGCCCUUACGUGUUGGGCUACACACGUGCUACAAUGGUAUCUACAACAGGAAGCAAGACUGCGAAGUUAAGCAAAUCCCUAAAAGAUACCUCAGUUCGGAUUGCACUCUGCAACUCGAGUGCAUGAAGCUGGAAUUACUAGUAAUCGUGGAUCAGCGUGCCACGGUGAAUGCGUUCCCGGGUCUUGUACACACCGCCCGUCACACCAUGGGAGUUGGUUCUACCUUAAGGCAAGGUUUUAAACCCUUGACCACGGUAUAGUCAGCGACUGGGGUGAAGUCGUAACAAGGUAACC
This 1437-nucleotide ribosomal RNA is filed under the name uncultured bacterium. RNAcentral's name for it is "bacterial SSU rRNA". It matches the Rfam family "Bacterial small subunit ribosomal RNA". The record is from RNAcentral.